GUGGGGAAUCUUGCGCAAUGGGCGAAAGCCUGACGCAGCCAUGCCGCGUGAAUGAUGAAGGUCUUAGGAUUGUAAAAUUCUUUCACCGGGGACGAUAAUGACGGUACCCGGAGAAGAAGCCCCGGCUAACUUCGUGCCAGCAGCCGCGGUAAUACGAAGGGGGCUAGCGUUGCUCGGAAUUACUGGGCGUAAAGGGAGCGUAGGCGGAAAGUUUAGUCAGAGGUGAAAGCUCAGGGCUCAACGUUGGAAUUGCCUUUGAUACUGGCUAUCUUGAGUAUGGAAGAGGUAUGUGGGACUCCGAGUGUAGAGGUGAAAUUCGUAGAUAUUCGGAAGAACACCAGUGGCGAAGGCGACAUACUUGUCCAUUACUGACGCUGAGGCUCGAAAGCGUGGGGAGCAAACAGGAUUAGAUACCCCAGUAGUCC
Molecule: ribosomal RNA, 425 nt
Filed under: uncultured bacterium
Lineage: Bacteria
Description: partial 16S ribosomal RNA
Rfam family: Bacterial small subunit ribosomal RNA
Source: RNAcentral